This 69-nucleotide transfer RNA is filed under the name Heterocephalus glaber (naked mole-rat). It matches the Rfam family "tRNA". Rfam says of the family: Transfer RNA (tRNA) molecules are approximately 80 nucleotides in length. Their secondary structure includes four short double-helical elements and three loops (D, anti-codon, and T loops). Lineage: Eukaryota; Metazoa; Chordata; Mammalia; Rodentia; Bathyergidae. The record is from Rfam by way of RNAcentral.
GGUAGAGCUCAGUGGUAGGGCAUUUGCCUAAUAUACACAAGGCCCUGGGUUCAAUUCCUAGCACUACUG